GAAAUGCGAUAAGUAAUGUGAAUUGCAGAAUUCAGUGAAUCAUCGAAUCUUUGAACGCACAUUGCGCCCGCUAGUAUUCUGGCGGGCAUGCCUGUUCGAGCGUCAUUUCAACCAUCAAGCCCUAGGCUUGUGUUGGGGGCCUGCGGCCGCCGCAGCCCCCUAAAUCCAGUGGCGGGCUCGUUGUCAUACCGGGUGCAGUAGUUUAUCUUCGCUCUGGGCAUGGCGGCGGGUUCCGGCCGUUAAACCACCAAUUUUUAAAGGUUGACCUCGAAUCAGGUAGGAAUACCCGCUGAACUUAA
This 299-nucleotide unclassified non-coding RNA is filed under the name uncultured Chaetomium. RNAcentral describes it as "sequence contains ITS1". The stretch from base 1 to 105 matches the Rfam family "5.8S ribosomal RNA", at positions 50 to 154 of the family's 154-position model. The record is from RNAcentral. Lineage: Eukaryota; Fungi; Ascomycota; Sordariomycetes; Sordariales; Chaetomiaceae.